RNAcentral lists this transfer RNA (70 nucleotides) under Faecalibacterium prausnitzii. RNAcentral's name for it is "tRNA-OTHER". It matches the Rfam family "tRNA". From Rfam's summary of the family: Transfer RNA (tRNA) molecules are approximately 80 nucleotides in length. Their secondary structure includes four short double-helical elements and three loops (D, anti-codon, and T loops). Further hydrogen bonds mediate the characteristic L-shaped molecular structure. tRNAs have two regions of fundamental functional importance: the anti-codon, which is responsible for specific mRNA codon recognition, and the 3' end, to which the tRNAs corresponding amino acid is attached (by aminoacyl-tRNA synthetases). tRNAs cope with the degeneracy of the genetic code in two manners: having more than one tRNA (with a specific anti-codon) for a particular amino acid; and 'wobble' base-pairing, i.e. permitting non-standard base-pairing at the 3rd anti-codon position. The record is from RNAcentral. Lineage: Bacteria; Bacillati; Bacillota; Clostridia; Eubacteriales; Oscillospiraceae.
GAGGAGAUAGCUCAAAUGGUAGAGCGCCACUUCAAUGUGGAGGUUAUGGGUUCGAGGCCCAUUCUCUUUU